UGGAAAGUGGAGACACCCAGGGUUGC
This 26-nucleotide non-coding RNA is filed under the name Homo sapiens (human). The record is from RNAcentral. Lineage: Eukaryota; Metazoa; Chordata; Mammalia; Primates; Hominidae.